RNAcentral lists this long non-coding RNA (822 nucleotides) under Ornithorhynchus anatinus (platypus). Its description in RNAcentral is "lncRNA (ENSOANG00000050875.1)". The record is from RNAcentral. Lineage: Eukaryota; Metazoa; Chordata; Mammalia; Monotremata; Ornithorhynchidae.
AUGACAGUUAAACCUCCUGUCCUUGGUUACCAUGGAAACCUCUUAAGGUCCGUAAGAAGGGAUAAUUCCACCUGCUCAGACCUAGUUCACAGAAAUAGCAACAAAAUUUUUACCACUCCUACGGCAACAGAGUAGGAAGAAAUGUUCACUAUUCCAUUGAUUCAUAAUCUCAAAACUCAGUAUUUGGUAUGUAAUUCAUCAUGUAGUUAAUGUUUUAAAAUGUAUGCUAUAAAGAGACUACCUCAUGUAUGAACGGUUCAGUUAUUCUAAAUUUUAAAAAAAAACUUUCACAUCAUCUUUGCCCUCAUCAGGAUACAAUCUCUGAAAUGCAGUGCCCAGAAUAGACGGACUUAAUUUGCCACUAUAUCUGAGAACAAAUUCAAGACAUUUUUCUUAAAUGGGCCGCUAUUAAAGAUCAGUGAGGAAAAAAAAAAUCACUCAGUGACACUAGGCAAUUCAGAAACCAAGACUAUACAGAGCUGACUUAAUUCACUCAACAAGCUGAAAAAAGCUUUGAUACACCCCAUAUGCAUCUCUGCAGCACUCUGAUAUCUGACAUGACAGUAGAUUAAUGAAAAGGAAACUUGAUUUGAUUGUAAAACUUUCUGUUACAAAUCUGCAUGUAAUAGCUGAAGUGUUAAGUUGAAGUCAAAACAGUGCAUGUUUUCUAUAAAAUUACAUUCUUGUGUUUGCAAACUGGCUUGGGCAUUCAUUUGACUGACAGCUGCUACCCAAGGAAUCCUAGCAGUCCUGAGCUGCCUUCUUACUGACUGUCAACAUGUUUAGAUUUUAGGUAGUACACUAAAGAGCCCUAAGGAAUCA